ACGGGAGGCAGCAGUGGGGAAUAUUUCACAAUGGAGGAAACUCUGAUGCAGCGACGCCGCGUGAGUGAUGAAGUAUCUCGGUAUGUAAAGCUCUAUCAGCAGGGAAGAUAAUGACGGUACCUGACUAAGAAGCACCGGCUAAAUACGUGCCAGCAGCCGCGGUAAUACGUAUGGUGCAAGCGUUAUCCGGAUUUACUGGGUGUAAAGGGAGCGUAGGUGGUCUGGCAAGCCAGAAGUGAAAACCCGGGGCUCAACCCUGUGGAUUGCUUUUGGAACUGUUGGACUAGAGUGCAGGAGGGGUAAGUGGAAUUCCCAGUGUAGCGGUGAAAUGCGUAGAUAUUGGGAGGAACACCAGUGGCGAAGGCGGCUUACUGGACUGUAACUGACACUGAGGCUCGAAAGCGUGGGGAGCAAACAGGAUUAGAUACCCUGGUA
This 435-nucleotide ribosomal RNA is filed under the name uncultured Lachnospiraceae bacterium. Its description in RNAcentral is "partial 16S ribosomal RNA". It matches the Rfam family "Bacterial small subunit ribosomal RNA", at positions 341 to 792 of the family's 1533-position model. The record is from RNAcentral. Lineage: Bacteria; Bacillati; Bacillota; Clostridia; Lachnospirales; Lachnospiraceae.